UACGGGGGAUGCAAGCGUUACCCGGAAUCAUUGGGCGUAAAGCGCCUGUAGGUUGUUUAAUAAGUCUGUUGUUAAAGACUAGGGCUUAACCCUAGAACAGCAAUGGAAACUACUAGACUAGAGUAUGGCAGGGGUAGAGGGAAUUUCUAGUGUAGCGGUGAAAUGCGUAGAUAUUAGAAAGAACACCAGCGGCGAAAGCGCUCUACUGGACCAUUACUGACACUCAGAGGCGAAAGCUAGGGUAGCAAAAGGGAUUAGAUACCCCUGUAGUCUUAGCCGUAAACGAUGGAUACUAGAUGUUGUGCAUAUCGUACAGUAUCGUAGCUAACGCGUUAAGUAUCCCGCCUGGGGAGUACGCUCGCAAGGGCG
This 369-nucleotide ribosomal RNA is filed under the name uncultured phototrophic eukaryote. Its description in RNAcentral is "SSU rRNA". It matches the Rfam family "Bacterial small subunit ribosomal RNA", at positions 524 to 896 of the family's 1533-position model. The record is from RNAcentral.